UACGUAGGGUGCAAGCGUUAAUCGGAAUUACUGGGCGUAAAGCGUGCGCAGGCGGUCGUGCAAGACAGGUGUGAAAUCCCCGGGCUUAACCUGGGAACUGCACUUGUGACUGCACGGCUGGAGUACGGCAGAGGGGGAUGGAAUUCCGCGUGUAGCAGUGAAAUGCGUAGAUAUGCGGAGGAACACCGAUGGCGAAGGCAGUCCCCUGGGCCUGUACUGACGCUCAUGCACGAAAGCGUGGGGAGCAAACAGG
This 253-nucleotide ribosomal RNA is filed under the name uncultured bacterium. RNAcentral describes it as "partial 16S ribosomal RNA". It matches the Rfam family "Bacterial small subunit ribosomal RNA", at positions 524 to 776 of the family's 1533-position model. The record is from RNAcentral.